GACGAACGCUGGCGGCGUGCUUAACACAUGCAAGUCGAACGGAAAGGCCCUGCUUUUGUGGGGUGCUCGAGUGGCGAACGGGUGAGUAACACGUGAGUAACCUGCCCUUGACUGUGGGAUAACUUCAGGAAACUGGGGCUAAUACCGGAUAUGAGCUCCUGCUGCAUGGUGGGCGUUGGAAAGUUUCGGCGGUUGUGGAUGGACUCGCGGCUUAUCAGCUUGUUGGUGGGGUAGUGGCUUACCAAGGCUUUGACGGGUAGCCGGCCUGAGAGGGUGACCAGGGACAAUGGGACUGAGAGACGGCGCAGAAUGGUACGGGAGGCAACAGGCGAGAGUAUGACGGAGUGGGGGGAAGCGUGAUACGGAGGCGUCGCGAGCGUGAUACCGGGUUUCGAGGUGAAAACAGAUGUGGCAUGUGACGAAGAGAGAGUGACGGUAAUGGGUAAAGAAGCAACGGCUAACUACGUG
RNAcentral lists this ribosomal RNA (468 nucleotides) under uncultured bacterium. RNAcentral describes it as "partial 16S ribosomal RNA". It matches the Rfam family "Bacterial small subunit ribosomal RNA", at positions 28 to 507 of the family's 1533-position model. The record is from RNAcentral.